Molecule: small nuclear RNA, 293 nt
Filed under: Erinaceus europaeus (western European hedgehog)
Lineage: Eukaryota; Metazoa; Chordata; Mammalia; Eulipotyphla; Erinaceidae
Description: 7SK RNA (ENSEEUG00000016763.1)
Rfam family: 7SK RNA
About the family: 7SK was discovered as an abundant small nuclear RNA in the mid-70s but a possible function has only recently been suggested. Two independent studies have found that 7SK RNA binds the CDK9/cyclin T complex (known as elongation factor P-TEFb).
Source: RNAcentral
GGAUGUGAGGGUGAUCUGGCUGUGACAUCUGUCACCCCAUUGAUCGCCAGGGAUGAUUCUGCUGAUCUGGCUGGCUAGGCGGGUGUCCCCUUCCUCCCUCACCGCUCCAUGUGUGUCCCUCCCGAAGCUGUGCACUCGGUUGAAGAGGACGGCCUUCCUCGAAUAGAGACGACCAGUCUUCGGUGGAGGGAAUAUGAGUAGCUGCGCUCCCCUGCUAGAACCUCCAAACAAGCUCUCGAGAAAGAAGGGAUCUGAGAGACAAGCAUGACACACUCAGGAAAGGUCAAAGAAAU